UUAAUAAUUAUUUAUUAAUAAUUUUUUUUUAUAUAUUAAAAUAUUUAAAAUAAUAAUAAAAUUUAAAAGUUUAAGUAUUAUUUAAAGAAAAAAUAAUUUUAAUAAUAGUUUAUUAGUAUUGUGAAAUAAAAUUGAAAUAUAAUGAAAAAUUUUUAUUUUAAAAGAAAAUUUAAUUUAUUGUAUCUUGUGUAUCAGAGUAUAUUAAAUAAAAAAUAUUUAUAUAUUUUUCUCGAUUUUAAAAGAUUUAAUAAAUUAUAAAUGUUAAUGUGAUAAAAUUAUAUUUAAUAAUUUAUUAGAAAUGAAAUGUUAUUCGUUUUUAAAGGUAUCUAGUUUUUUAAGAAAUAAGUUUAAUUUAAUAUUCAAAAUUUACUUAUUUAUUUAUUUUAAUUAAGUAAUUUUUGGAAUUUAAUAUUUUAUGGGAUAAGCUAUAAAAUAAAUUUUUAUAAAUAAUAAAUAAUAUAUAAAAUUUAAUAUGUUUAAAAGUAUCAAUUUUUAUUAAGUUUGUUAUAAAUUAAUUUUUUUAUUAAAUUAUUUAUUAUAUUUUAAUUUUUUUAUUAAAAUAUUUAUUUUAAUAUUAAAAAUAAAGUAAUAAUGAUAUAAUUAGUAUAUAAAUUUUGUAUAAAUAUAUUUUAAAUUGAAAAGUUUAUGUAAAGAAUUCGGCAAAAAUAAUGUUCGCCUGUUUAACAAAAACAUGUCUUUUAGAAAUUAAUUUAAAGUCUGACCUGCCCACUGAAUUUUUUUAAAUGGCCGCAGUAUAUUAACUGUGCAAAGGUAGCAUAAUCAUUAGUCUUUUAAUUGAAGGCUGGAAUGAAUGGUUGGACGAAAUAUUAACUGUUUCAUUUAAAUUUUUAAUAGAAUUUUAUUUUUUAGUCAAAAAGCUAAAAUAAAUUUAAAAGACGAGAAGACCCUAUGAAUCUUUAUAUUUAUUAAUAUUUUAAUUUUAUAGAUAAAUUUAAUUAUAAUAUUAAUUAUAUAUUUUAUUGGGGUGAUAUUAAAAUUUAAAUAACUUUUAAAAUUUAAAUCAUUAAUUUAUGAAUAAAUGAUCCAUUUUUAAUGAUUAAAAAUUUAAGUUACUCUAGGGAUAACAGCGUAAUUUUUUUGGAGAGUUCAUAUCGAUAAAAAAGAUUGCGACCUCGAUGUUGGAUUAAGAAAUAGUUUUAGGUGUAGCCGUUUAAAUUUAAAGUCUGUUCGACUUUUAAAAUCUUACAUGAUCUGAGUUCAAACCGGCGUAAGCCAGGUUGGUUUCUAUCUUUAAUAAAUUAAUAUAUUUUAGUACGAAAGGAUUGAAUAUAUAAAUAAUAAUAUUUUUAAGUUAAGAAUAUAAAUAAUGUUGAUUAAAA
RNAcentral lists this ribosomal RNA (1340 nucleotides) under Eristalinus vicarians. RNAcentral describes it as "16S ribosomal RNA". The record is from RNAcentral. Lineage: Eukaryota; Metazoa; Arthropoda; Insecta; Diptera; Syrphidae.